Acinonyx jubatus (cheetah) is the source of this 1502-nucleotide long non-coding RNA. RefSeq lists it as uncharacterized. Lineage: Eukaryota; Metazoa; Chordata; Mammalia; Carnivora; Felidae. The transcript is spliced from 2 exons. The record is from RefSeq and is a predicted model, not a curated record.
GAGAGAAGGAGACACAGAAUCCCAAGCAGGCUCCAGGCUCCGAGCCGUCCCCACAGAGCCCGACGCGGGGCUCGAACUCACGGAUCGUGAGAUCAUGACCUGAGCCGAAGUCGGACGCUCAACCGACUGAGCCACCCAGGCGCCCCUCAUAGUCCACGCUUUUAACCACUAGCUUCAUUUUUAUGCCUUUGUAAGACUGUUGUUAAGUUUCAGGGAAACAAAAAUCUUUUCUCAGAUUUUGGUGCAGAAAAAACCCAGCCUCCUUGCAUACAGUUUCAUACAUGGAUGAACACAUGGGGUCUGGAGGAAGGACACAUGCCCAGCGACUGGUCGGGGAGGAAUUGGACUCUCCAUCUGAGAUCUGCUUACCUUGGCAAUUAUCGGCUUGAGUCGGGAUGACAUUCGGGGCUAGACUGCCUCUGCAACAGUGUUCCCCAGAUUUGUGUGUUUGUCAAGCAGGUUCGCACUCUAGCCCGGCAUGAUCAUGAAAAAGAGAAGGGGACAUAAUAACCCUUUGGGCAGCAGUCCGGUGCCUGGGAUCUCGCCCAGCUCCAGAGCUGGUAAAUGCUGACAGAGACACGGUCGCACCACUGAUGGGAGCGUGAGGCACACACGGCUCUGAGACGGUCACACUCAUGAGAUCAACUGUUUAUUGAUUUUUUUCCUAAAAUACUAUCCAUUUAAAGAAACUCCUAACUGAAAAGACUUGACAAUUUUUGGUAGAUCUGUAGCAAAGGAAUGAGGAUUUCUGCUGGUAAGUUUUCAUGACAAAACAGACACACACCCACUUUCCAAGCAAGACCUCAAGCUCACUGGAAACGGUGAGAAAAUGCAUAGCUUGUGAUGGCAGCGGCCAUUCCAACAAUGUCUGAGUUACACAAAAUAAAGGUUUUCCCUCCUUCCCUCCCUCCCCUGCCCUGUCAUUACGGUGUGGCUCCUGCCCCAGCACGUCUGCUCCCGAUGACCACGGCUGCUCAGAAGAGACCCGCGUGCUCUGGGGUGAGACCCAGCUUUCGUGCACUCACGAGGAAUAAAGGAGGACUGUGGACCCUGCGGCUGCCGCAAAGACACGGGAGUUUGUACAGUGUUCUGCUACGGAAAGGACUAAGGCUAGUCAGAAGGUGGGACCCACAGCUGGCCGGCGAGGACACGCUUCCCCACAGCUGUCUCCACUGCAGAGGCCCAGGGCCGCGUCCCGAGCCCAGAGGAGGCCUGGCCCACCGGCCAGGCCUGUGCCCGAAUGUCACAGUCUUCAAGCAGUUCAGUUAAACCCACCGUCAAAAGCCGUUACGUCUCGUUAAAACAGUAGGCGAACUCUUUAGAUUCUCUGAAUAUCAAAUAAUAUAUACAGAUAUACACCGAGAGAAGACAGUCUGAUGUAAAGCAUCUUCGGCUACCAGAUGCGUGUGCUUGAAAAGUUAGUCUUACUUUUUAACCUUCCCAAUCACUGACAAAAUCGUUAACCGGCAAGAGUAGAAUCUUAAACACAAAUAGGAUGAAAA